UGCAGCAGAAAACUUGUCUUCACAAGUGGUGUUUCUACUAAUAUUCUGGAUGAGUCCCUUUUUUGAUGUUCAAAAAAAUUAAAGUUAUUUUCUUAAUUCUUUUUAAAGGAAAACCUAACAGAAUUGAAGAGGAGGAGCUGUUAUGGAAAAAAUGAUGUUCAAAGUUUAAAGAAUGUUAGGAGGUAGAUUUUCAGUGAUAACAUCUGACUAUCAUGUUUCAAAAUCGGAGAUUUCUUUCAUUGCUGGUGGAGUGUGCUGUACCAAUAAGAGAUCGUAAUGAAAUUAUUCAGUGAAAGGAGAUGAACUGAGGAUUAUUUCACUCAGCAAAUUGUAAAGCACAGAGUUUCCCACCAUCCUGAUCCCGCCCUCUUAGUCUGGGAGAAACUGGAUUAUUUCUCAGUAAUAAGAACGUUGAUGCAAUAAGUGAAGUUAGACCAAAAGGGAUAGAGCCAGAUACGUGCCAAAUAUGAUAUAGACAAGAUUGUUGCAGCUGAACUCCUCAACUAACAAGGAAGACUGUUGCAGAUUGUUAAAGCAAAUAUGAAGAACUUGACAGUCAGUGGAUAUUUGUCCUAAAGCCAGCAUCUAAAGAGGUUGAGACAUCUUUGAACGCCUGCUGCUACAUGGAGGAACACUGACAUUUGGCAACUGUCCUCCAAACAUUAAGGAGAAAUGAUGGAGAAGGAGAGGCUGGCACCGCGUUUCUCUUUAGACAGACCUGGAGUUGGAUGAGAUAGUGCAGUGAAGAGGUAUUUUAUUUCUGGAAGAUUGUCAAAGGAGGCUUUUCCACCAGACAAUGCCAGCCUGGUCAGACAGUGCAACUGGGUCAAUGUCAUCUUUGGAUUGUCACGACUGGGUUGCAUUGCUGAAAAGUCAACGACCUCUUCUCCAUCAAGGAGAAAAUAUCCCAAAGCUGGGUGAUUAACACCAAACAGCUGGAGGGGUGUCUGACAUUCAUGUCUUCAUUUCAUAUGAGAAGAGAAUCUUCAUCCUUGCAGGAGACGACCAGGACGGCACCUGCAGGGAUGCUGGAACUUUCAAGUACUGGCAAUCAAAUACGCACCACUUGUCAUUCCUCUGCAAUGCUGACUUGACCAGAGUUCAUUACAGGAAGGAUGUGAUUACACUGGAGGGAGUGCAAGGAAAAUUCACCAGAAUGUUGCCUGCACUGAAGCGGUUCAGUUGUAACGGGAGGCUGAAUUAGCUCGGGUUGUUUUCUUUGGAGCAGAAAGGCUGAGGGGGCACGUGGACAGGAUGGAUAGAAGGCAGCUGCCCAUCUUAUUUGAAAGUGAUAUUCAACACAAGCUCAAGGAAUAGCACCUCAUCACAACUUGUUGCUGCCUGGCCAUAAUAUUUACUUUAACAGCAAUGAAGGUGCUAGUUUCUCCUGAAAUGGGUGCUUCCAAUGGUGUACUGAUGCUUGGAGGAUUGAAUGACCAGCAGAUUGGAACUAGGAAGAGGAAUGUGCAAUCCCCUUUUUUAUUUGAAACACCAUAAUUGUGAAAUGGACUGUACCAAUAGUGUAAAAUGUUACACUAAGAAGGUGGUCAUUCAUACAGCCAGAUUAUCAGCCAAACAGUUGAAUGAGGACAACACUGCCAGUUGUGAAGAGCACUUCCAUUACCCUCAAUUUCUGUUUCACAGCCUGUACUGCCAUUCAAUUAGUCAAUCACCAAUCUCCUUGCCUGUCCACUCCCUGUUUUCUUCAAUUCCCCAAGAGCUUCUAUCUCAGGUAGAGAAUUCCAAAGGUCCAUAAACCUUGGAAUGAAAAUAUUUCUCCUCAGCUGAGUACAAAAUGAUCAAACCCUUAUCCUGAAGUCAUAGAGCUGUAUAGCAUGGAAACAGACCUUUCAGUCUAACUCAUCUAUGCUGACCAAAUAUCCUAAAUUAA
Non-coding RNA from Chiloscyllium plagiosum (whitespotted bambooshark), 1891 nucleotides. The record is from RefSeq and is a predicted model, not a curated record. NCBI's taxonomy places the organism in Eukaryota, Metazoa, Chordata, Chondrichthyes, Orectolobiformes, Hemiscylliidae.